This 21-nucleotide non-coding RNA is filed under the name Caenorhabditis elegans. Lineage: Eukaryota; Metazoa; Nematoda; Chromadorea; Rhabditida; Rhabditidae. The record is from RNAcentral.
UGAGAGAUUUUGUUUUGUUUU